CAAAAUGAUAUAUUUCUAGGUUUGUAGUCUACUACUUUACGGUAUUGUGAUUCGCCUAGAAAUAUCAACUACCCAAUGUGCACUGUUUCUGUUUUUCGGGUGAUUGAUUUCUGCAGUAGUAUUUAUUAUUAUUGCAGUUUAAAAUUGCCCGGCAGUUUAUAAACCCAACUUUAAUUAUUAGUCUGAUUAUUUCUGAAAAUGAAAUGAAAA
This 210-nucleotide unclassified non-coding RNA is filed under the name uncultured Operculomyces. Its description in RNAcentral is "sequence contains ITS1". Lineage: Eukaryota; Fungi; Chytridiomycota; Chytridiomycetes; Rhizophydiales. The record is from RNAcentral.